RNAcentral lists this long non-coding RNA (668 nucleotides) under Elaeis guineensis (African oil palm). Its description in RNAcentral is "long non-coding RNA (EGUI_LNC052285)". The record is from RNAcentral. Lineage: Eukaryota; Viridiplantae; Streptophyta; Magnoliopsida; Arecales; Arecaceae.
UAAUCAGUAGGCUUUGGCCUCCACUGUAAGGAUCCGGUUAAGUCCAACCAUUAACAUGAUCAUACUUGGUGUAUCUAACCAACGAAUGAUUAAGCUCAACUUUGGUUGGCUCACCUAACCACCAUUAGAGAGACACUUCUAAGUCUUCAUAUGAUGAGUGAUAAUUCCAUUAGUCAACAAGCACCAGGCCUUUGGGUCUGCAAUGAUUAUUGAGUUAAUGGACUCAUUAUCAAACACCUUAAUGGGAGGCUAUGACUCAGUUAUCUCUAUAACAUUGUCAUUUUAAGGACCUAAUAAUUUUAAAAGAUUUAAAUGAUUUAGAAGAUGAGGUCAGAUGAACCAACUUAUCAUGAUCCUCCCACUGGCUUCACCAAGUCAGCUUAAGGGAGACCAUUAAAAGAGCUGGUCUAGGAGCACCUAAAUCAGUCACACUGAUUUACCUAGCUGACAUGGGUCAGUUCGAAUAGUCAAGUGAUCUGAUCAAAACAUAAUUUCACCAAGAGGCCAGGUAAGUUCGAUCAGUGGGAGGGUCUACCAAAGCUUGCCUUAGACACCAUCAGAAAUGGCCAGAUAAGUAGGCUCCCAAUUAAAAACCACCGGUCUGGUUUACCUUAGACACCAACUGGUUUAAUUAGUUUCGAUUAGAUCAACCUAAUAGUUCGUGCUAG